GCUAACAUGAUAUAGUGGCUUGAGUGUUAGACUACAAUUCUGGAGACCAGGGUUCGAUUCCCAUCUUGGCC
This 71-nucleotide transfer RNA is filed under the name Phrynosoma platyrhinos (Desert horned lizard). RNAcentral's name for it is "tRNA-OTHER". Lineage: Eukaryota; Metazoa; Chordata; Lepidosauria; Squamata; Phrynosomatidae. The record is from RNAcentral.